GCCGUGGAGACGGCGCCGCCCCGGCGCGGAGCCCGGCCCCGCUCAGGAGCGUUCCGCCAGCCGUGAGGGCCGGCAGACCCGGCUCUCCCCCUUUCCUUUCUUGUUUGUCUACAAAAUAGCUUAAUUCAACACCAACCUUAAUUCAACUUCCUCUCCUCCUGUCUGUGCACCAGAAAAACUGAGGCUUGCCCAGCAGGCCGAGGCAGGGGCUGCCACCGCUGCCUUUGCCAAGGCCACCUCAGUGAUACAACACCAAAACUAACUAGGAAAGGCCAGAGUUAUCAAUUAUGAACUUCUAGCGAAUCAGGGCUGCUAGCUUCUUGCUUCCCAGGAUGUAGAGCCAUUUGGGAGCAGCAAAGCCGUGCUUUCAAACUCUUCCCUGUCCUAAUUAAAGGAAAGACCAUUGUUACUUCAGGCAUUGAACUUGGUUUUUUAAAAUGCUGAGGAUUUUAUCAUCUCACAGAAGACAUUUGGAUGGUGGAAAAUGUAUUUUUCUGCUGUAAAAUGAAGUCUGGAAAGAGAUGCUGGAGACGCACAGUUAGAAUUAAGGUGAGGCCCAGGAAACUCAACACAGUGUGUGUGAAAUCAUCUAGGCCAAUCCUCCACCUCCACCAAGAGGGAAAGGAAGAGGAUUCAGACACUGAGGUCUCAUCUCUUAAUUACAAUUUAUAUAUUCUCCUGGAGAUUCACUGCCUUCUUCAAAGGCUGGUGUUUAAACACUUUCUCUAAAUCAGAUAUGAACCGAUGCUACUUUUAAAGCAAGCAGAAGAAAAAAAGGGUUUCUGAGCUGCUAGUCCUCUUUUCAAGCAAUAAAUGAGUUUAUCAUACGCA
RNAcentral lists this long non-coding RNA (831 nucleotides) under Cyanistes caeruleus (blue tit). RNAcentral describes it as "lncRNA (ENSCCEG00000023933.1)". The record is from RNAcentral. Lineage: Eukaryota; Metazoa; Chordata; Aves; Passeriformes; Paridae.